UGGAGUAUGUGGUUUAAUUCGACGCAACGCGCAGAACCUUACCUACCCUUGACAUGUCCGGAACUUGCCAGAGAUGGCUUGGUGCCCGAAAGGGAAUCGGAACACAGGUGCUGCAUGGCUGUCGUCAGCUCGUGUCGUGAGAUGUUGGGUUAAGUCCCGCAACGAGCGCAACCCUUAUCAUUAGUUGCUACGCAAGGGCACUCUAAUGAGACUGCCGGUGACAAACCGGAGGAAGGUGGGGAUGACGUCAAGUCCUCAUGGCCCUUAUGGGUAGGGCUUCACACGUCAUACAAUGGUCGGUACAGAGGGUUGCCAACCCGCGAGGGGGAGCUAAUCCCACAAAGCCGAUCGUAGUCCGGAUCGCAGUCUGCAACUCGACUGCGUGAAGUCGGAAUCGCUAGUAAUCGUGGAUCAGCAUGUCACGGUGAAUACGUUCCCGGGUCUU
Molecule: ribosomal RNA, 445 nt
Filed under: uncultured Curvibacter sp.
Lineage: Bacteria; Pseudomonadati; Pseudomonadota; Betaproteobacteria; Burkholderiales; Comamonadaceae
Description: bacterial SSU rRNA
Rfam family: Bacterial small subunit ribosomal RNA
Source: RNAcentral